RNAcentral lists this ribosomal RNA (466 nucleotides) under uncultured bacterium. Its description in RNAcentral is "bacterial SSU rRNA". It matches the Rfam family "Bacterial small subunit ribosomal RNA", at positions 338 to 795 of the family's 1533-position model. The record is from RNAcentral.
CCUACGGGGGGCUGCAGUCGAGGAUAUUUUUCAAUGGGCGCAAGCCUGAAAAUGCGACGCCGCGUGCGGGAUGAAGGCCUUCGGGUCGUAAACCGCUGUCAGGCCGGGCGAAUACCUGUUCGGUUAAUACCCGAAUCGGUUGACGGUACGGCCAGAGGAAGCCACGGCCAACUCCGUGCCAGCAGCCGCGGUAAUACGGAGGUGGCGAGCGUUGCUCGGAUUCAUUGGGUGUAAAGGGUCGGUAGGCGGUCCAAUAAGUGCCCGGUAAAAUCCCACGGCUUAACCGUGGAACGCCCGGGUAGACUGCUGGACUUGAGGGCUGGAGAGGCAAGCGGAAUUCCCGGUGUAAGAGUGAAAUCUGUAGAUAUCGGGAGGAACACCAGUGGCGAAGGCGGCUUGCUGGACAGCACCUGACGCUGAGCGACGAAAGCGUGGGGAGCAAACAGGAUUAGAUACCCCAGUAGUC